RNAcentral lists this ribosomal RNA (502 nucleotides) under uncultured Clostridium sp. Its description in RNAcentral is "bacterial SSU rRNA". It matches the Rfam family "Bacterial small subunit ribosomal RNA", at positions 338 to 856 of the family's 1533-position model. The record is from RNAcentral. Lineage: Bacteria; Bacillati; Bacillota; Clostridia; Eubacteriales; Clostridiaceae.
CCUACGGGAGGCAGCAGUGGGGAAUAUUGCACAAUGGGCGAAAGCCUGAUGCAGCAACGCCGCGUGAGUGAUGAAGGCUUUCGAGUCGUAAAGCUCUUUGAUCAGGGAUGAUAAUGACAGUACCUGAAAAACAAGCCACGGCUAACUACGUGCCAGCAGCCGCGGUAAUACGUAGGUGGCGAGCGUUGUCCGGAAUUACUGGGCGUAAAGGAUGCGUAGGUGGAUAUUUAAGUGGGAUGUGAAAUCCCCGGGCUCAACCCGGGAACUGCAUUCCAAACUGGAUGUCUAGAGUGCAGGAGAGGAAAGCGGAAUUCCUAGUGUAGCGGUGAAAUGCGUAGAUAUUAGGAGGAACACCAGUGGCGAAGGCGGCUUUCUGGACUGUAACUGACACUGAGGCAUGAAAGCGUGGGUAGCAAACAGGAUUAGAUACCCUGGUAGUCCACGCCGUAAACGAUGGGUACUAGGUGUAGGAGGUAUCGACCCCUUCUGUGCCGUNGUUAAC